This is a long non-coding RNA of Homo sapiens (human), 793 nucleotides long. Ensembl annotates it as long intergenic non-protein coding RNA 1968. Lineage: Eukaryota; Metazoa; Chordata; Mammalia; Primates; Hominidae. The record is from Ensembl.
AUGAGGAUAGCAGGGCGUCUGCCCCAGGGACCCCCCGCACGGAGGUGGCUGUGUCGGCAACAGUGGUGUCACAGUAGAUGCAGUCUGACCUGAGCCAUGAAGAAGUGCAGAGUCCCCAAGAGGCCAGAGAGCUCACGUCUGGUUAGAGUCGGGGUGUUUGAUGGGAAGAUGAAAGGAGGAGCUGGCAUCUGAGAUUUAGCAGAGAUUCCGUUCGGAAGGAUUCUGGCGAAACAGCGUGAGUUGACAACUCUGCUUCUGAAUAGUACAUUAUUUAUUCAGUGCCAGCCACGAGCCCGGCAGGUGAUGAGCUAAACUAAACUUGCUGGCACACACACGCAGAACUCAGGAACAGCAGAGUGAUGGCAGCCUCAUCUCAAAGUGGCUCCUUCAAGGAGGAGGACUAAGAGUGUUAAGCCAGGUCAUAAGAAGCCUUGCAGCUUCUUGAUUCUCAGAAUGCUUGCUCUGGAAGAAGCCAGCUGCCGUGUAAGAAAUCAGAUGUCUCUGAGACCACCAUGCUGUGAGAGGCCACGACUGCCACAUGCAGAGGCUACAUGGAGAGAGAGAGAGAGAGGAGAGGGACAGAGAGAGAGAUGCUCAGCCAUCCCCGAGCCAAGGCAUAAACACAUGAGUGAGGAAGCCAGGUUGGAUGUUCCCACCCCCUCCGGUCCUCAGAUGACACCAGCCUCAGCUGCCAUCUGACUGCAACCAGAAGAGGCACCCAGAAAGACCUGCCCAGCUGAGCCCAGUCAAUCCUUAGAACAAUGAGAAGUAAUAAUAAAUUUGUGUUUUAAGU